AAGCGAGCAUUUCUUGCUCUCUUCUGUUCCUUUGGUGGGAUUACAGAACAGGUAUUAGAGGAAUAUGAUUCGCAAGAGGCUUUCUUGGCCUUCUGCCUUCCACCAUUAGAUGAUGCAGCAAGAAGACCAUCACCAGGUACUAACACACCUUAAUUUUGGACUUUCCAGCCUCCAGAAGCAUGAGAAAUAAAUUUAUUUUCUUUAUAAAUUA
This is a long non-coding RNA of Pan troglodytes (chimpanzee), 211 nucleotides long. RefSeq lists it as uncharacterized. Lineage: Eukaryota; Metazoa; Chordata; Mammalia; Primates; Hominidae. The record is from RefSeq and is a predicted model, not a curated record. The transcript has 3 exons.